GGCGAACGCUGGCGGCGUGCUUAACACAUGCAAGUCGAACGGAAAGGCCCUGCUUUUGUGGGGUGCUCGAGUGGCGAACGGGUGAGUAACACGUGAGUAACCUGCCCUUGACUUUGGGAUAACUUCAGGAAACUGGGGCUAAUACCGGAUAGGAGCUCCUGCUGCAUGGUGGGGGUUGGAAAGUUUCGGCGGUUGGGGAUGGACUCGCGGCUUAUCAGCUUGUUGGUGGGGUAGUGGCUUACCAAGGCUUUGACGGGUAGCCGGCCUGAGAGGGUGACCGGCCACAUUGGGACUGAGAUACGGCCCAGACUCCUACGGGAGGCAGCAGUGGGGAAUAUUGCACAAUGGGCGGAAGCCUGAUGCAGCAACGCCGCGUGCGGGAUGACGGGCUUCGGGUUGUAAACCGCUUUCGCCUGUGACGAAGCGUGAGUGACGGUAAUGGGUAAAGAAGCACCGGCUAACUACGUG
RNAcentral lists this ribosomal RNA (468 nucleotides) under uncultured bacterium. RNAcentral's name for it is "partial 16S ribosomal RNA". It matches the Rfam family "Bacterial small subunit ribosomal RNA", at positions 28 to 507 of the family's 1533-position model. The record is from RNAcentral.